This is a long non-coding RNA of Meriones unguiculatus (Mongolian gerbil), 6382 nucleotides long. RefSeq lists it as uncharacterized. The transcript is spliced from 3 exons. NCBI's taxonomy places the organism in Eukaryota, Metazoa, Chordata, Mammalia, Rodentia, Muridae. The record is from RefSeq and is a predicted model, not a curated record.
CUCUGGGUUCAGCCCCUUGCAGCAGUCCGGCCGGACGCCGUCUCCUGCCCGCCCGCGUGCGAGACAACGCGGAACGGAACCUCGCCCGCAGCCCCUUCUGCUAGGCCAGGCCAGAGCCCAGUUCGGGCCUGGGUCUCUGCUGGGUGGGGGAAGACGAGGCUGCCUCCUAAGCAGAGUGGGAAACGGAAACCCGGAGGACACUUUGCCUGCCCCUGGGGCUGAGUGUUCCAAGAACUGACAGCGAGAUUCUCGGUAAGAGAAUUCUGGGACAAAGCUUAAUCAAGAAUUCAUCCAAGUUAAAAGCCCAUCCUUUUUAAUUAGCUGCCCACUGCCCAUCUCUGAGUAAAAACAGGCCAUGAGCUACCUGAAAGUAUCCGAAAUACCAGUUGUUUUUAACGUCUACAGGGACUGUCUGCACUCUGACCCUUGAUAGACGUUAGGCACGGGAAAGUGGAACCUGGAGGAUCCCGCGUCCCAAGGCGGUGUAACUCAAGGUGCCCUGGAGGGUACAGGACGAAGUCUGUACGAGGUUUCCCAAGCACUCGUGUAGGAAGGCUUUUGUAGAAAAAAGAGGAAUAAUUAGGGACCACGUGACUUCCCCCCCACACACCUUUCCGCGCCACAAGAAGACAGCAAUGUCAACGUGCAGGUAGAGAGCAGGUUAGUGUGAAAACCACAGCCUUUGACUACCAAAGGAAACUGCGUCUUUUAAAAUAUAGAUGUUUCUCAGAACAGGCCUGAUUUCUCUUUGUGAUAAAGCGUUUUUGCCCCCUCCCCCCCCAUCUUAAGUCUGUCUGGAUGAUACAGAAAAUGAAAGGAACGUUUUCAUGGGAAGAUUCUUACCUGGAAAAUUCUUCCCUUCCUGUCUUCUUAAUUUACUCGUCCCUUCUCCCCAUUUCCCCCUAUGGAAAGACAAAUCCUUGCUCCUUUCAACUGUUUAUCCUCGGGGAUCUUCCCACUUGCAUACUUGCGUGUUUACCUGACCCUUCCUGGUUUGGGGGGGGCUCUCCCCAGGCAUUGUCUCCUCCAGCCCCCACCCCCUACUCUGCCAGGGCCUGCCAGCAGUGCCCGCUGGGCCUCCGAGUUGGUCCGGGCUCUGCCGCAGGUUCUGUCGUGUGCGCUGGAAUAUUGAUUUUUUUUUUCAGUGUGUGUGCACCACUCUGUAAAAAAAUCAAUAUUUCAGUAGCUCCAGCACAGCGCAGGGCAGUGUAAUGGAGCCAGCCUGCCGAUGUAACGUGCGGGGUCCACCCUCGGCUAUUGAGGUCAGUCAGAGAACGGCAGUGCGUUUUUCCUAUUUCAUUGUUUGCUCCGAGGGCAGGGAGGGGGUUGGCCAAUGUUUGUGUACAUCAGAUGCCAAGCUCCUAUGUGGCACGGGAACCAAGUUAGGAAAAAAAAAAAAAGGCUAAAGGUGAUAACUGCAAACGUCCUGUCACCCGUUUAUGUGAGAACUCUUACAUGAAAGAGUAGGUGAUGUGGCGUUACUCUCAGUUAUCAGUUUACCAAAUGUCACAAUGAACAAAAGAAAAUAGGGUUUGCUCCAGGACAAGCCUCGGGUUUACCGUUUAGUACUGGCUGUACGGCAGCUUCUUAUCCUUCUGUCCCAUAAUGUGCCUCUGUUUAAAAAGCAAGAGAUUUCUCCUAUUUUCCUAAUUUCAAAGGGGGAAACAGAUCAAUAAGUGUUGCUGGGGGUGGGGGGACCACCUUCACGACCUCGGCAGCUGAUGAGCCUGCUGAACCUGAGUGAGACAUGGCGGUCCUCUAGGCCUUCCCACUAGGAGAGAAUGAGCCCUCAUGGAUGAGCCCAGGUAAAUCUGUUCGCCUUCACCAGCAUCCCCAUUGUUACCUGUAAGUGGAAGGGUUAAUUCAGUGGCUUCUGAAUGCCCUCUCUAGCAACUACGAUUCUGCAGAAGAAAGGAUGAUAUAGCUAAAGACAGAAGCAUAAUUAUGUUGAGUGUGGAUCUUAGACAUGAAAAUGUAUUAAUACCGAGAACGUUGUAAAAGUGGAAGGUGGAUCUUUCCAGUGCUGGUUGUCUUUGUUUUAAAUUAUGUUUUGUUGCAAUCUUUUUGGAGGGUAAUUUGGCCAUUUUCUAAAAUACACUUUUUUUUUCUUGAUGCAGCUUUUCUUAUUCUAGGAGUUUUCCCUAAAGAAAUCCUGUUACUUAAAAAGAAGUUUAUCACUUGCAAUUUUGCACCGUUGAAACACUGGAAAUGGCUUAGCAACGUGGCACCCAUUACAUAAAACACAGUAAUGACCUUGCUUUCAGUGGGGUGCAGGCAUUUCACAGAGGUGGACGUGCCCGUGCUACUGGGAUUUCUAUCUGCCCAGGAGUGUGUGUCCUGGUGGCCAGGGAAAUGGGCUCUGCGGUUCUCUGGAUGGGUUGAAAUCCCAUCUCCAUCACUAGCGAGCUCUGCAUUCGCUCUAAACUAAGUGUGUUGGGAAGCAGUACACAAACUUACAGGCUUGAGGUAGCACUAAUCCAUAUCUUGCAAGUGACCAGAGUGGCUUUCACUCGAAAAAAAGGGGGGGCUGGGCCUUGCUCCCUCCGGAAGCACCCAGAACAACUUGUUUCUUUACCUCUCCUGGAGGCCUCUUGGACCCCAUGGCUACAAGGUUGCUCAGUACGGAGCUCCAAACUGUUUUGAUCAUUUCUUCUCCUAUGUCUGACCCUCCUGCCUCCUUGUGUAAGGAGCUCUGUGCUGAGAUCAGAUUGCCUGAUUAAUCGAGAGUCACCUCCCCUAACCAAGAGUCUCUUGGUAUCCCACGUUGGCCAUUAUUGGGGCUUACCCAUUAUUGGGCUGAUGUCUGCAGGGGUAUAUUUCUUCCUGAGAACUCCUGGAGAGAGUCCCUGCCCGUUAGAGGCUGCGCACAUUUCCUUUGACCAGCAAUGGGGUUGAAUCUUCCCCUCGUCUCAGGCCUCUGAUACCAAUUCUUUGGUCUCAGCUCCUCUUCCCUUGUGGUUAUGCUGGGCACAGAUAGGACACUGAGGAUAAUCUCCAUAUUUUGAGAUGCAACCAAAUAUAUCAAAUUCAUUCUGUUUGCAAUCAUAUAUUUUCUAUGUCAAGUAACAAGACACUUGACAUAGUCACAUGUUCCUGGGAUAAGGAGUGAGAAGUGUCUCUGAGUUUGAGGCCAGCCAGGGCUAUAUUCUGGAAUCCUAUCUAAAAAAUAAAGACAUAAGUAAAGGAGGCAGAUAUCUUAGGAUCACCUGCCACAGUCAAGAUUCGAGUGCUAACUCUCGAGUGCUAACUUCAGUGAAGCCAUGAUUAGAGCACAUACCUAUAACCAUCCGAAAGUUGUGAGACCAAGUGAAAUGAAGUAUGUAAGAUGUUUAGCAUCAUGCCUCUGUGUAGUAAGCACUGAACGGUAACUUGGAAGAACAAGUGCUCCGCAGUGACUCUCUGCCUAGCAUUACCUGGAAAGGAAAGUCACACUGUACCAGCUGCAUCUGGUGGAAGGAGCAAUUAAAACUGGUUUAAAGGUUUCUCAUUUUGCAAAUGUUUUUUUUUUCCCUUUUUUCUAUCAGGAACAUGCAUGACUUGAACAUUAAAAAAUUUAAUGAAAUUUAGCCAGGCGGUGGUGGGGCACACCUUUAAUCCCAGCACUCAGGAGGCAAUGGCAGAUGAGUUUGAGUGGAGUCUGGUCUACAGAGCAAGUUCCAGGACAGCCAAGUCUACACAGAGAAACCCUGUCUCGACAAUAAAAAAAAAAAAUUAAUGAGAUGAGACAAAUAAAUAAGAUGGCAUCAUGGUACAAUUGUAAAAUAGUUGAAAUGGGAUCUGAAUGGCCCAGGUGCUAGCCUCAGUACGGCAACAAAUGAUGAACUGUGGCAUCAGGCAAGUUAUUUUAACCUUCCUCCUCUCGUUUUCCUCUUGGGGAAUGUGAGGGGAUGUGAAGGAAAGGCACAUUGUAUUUCAAAAAGAUCUUUCUAGUUCUAAAUGCAAUAGUUCUAAAAAGUUUGAAGGUCAGUAAACAGACAACAAAAAACAAAGCAAUGCUAUAAAAAGAAAUCCUAUAGUAUGUUAAAAAACAAAACAAAACAAAACACCAGAGCGCUAUAGAGACAAAACAUGACAAAAGUAUAAAUAAACCCUGCAAAGAACACCACCAUGACAAACAAAAUAAAUGGCAAACAAGCAUAAAGACAUUAAUCCUUUUUAGUGACAGGAAAUGCAAGUUAAAACUUCAGUGAAGCCAUGAUUAGAGCACAUACCUAUAAUCACAGGACUCGGGAGGCUAAGACCAGAGAAACACAAGUUCCAGUCCAGCUUAGGUGACAUGGUGAAAAACCGUCUUAAAAAAAGAAAAAAAUACAUAAAUAUUUUAUUCUCACCAGGUUGGCCAAAAUGCACAGAUCUGGCAACCAAGCCAGACCUGGUUGAUGCGUGACAAUGGCAGCUGACAUCUCUUCACAUAGCAGGCCAUUAAGUAACAGCACACGUGAAUGACAGCUCCUCACACUGUCAUGACUGGAGCCUCAAAACAUGAUGUGGGAGAGCGGGAGGCAGGUCCCCAGAGACCACAGAUACUUGGCCAUCUGUAUAAAGGUCAACCGUGAGCAAACCUGAAUAUGUGUUGGAGGCAUUCGUGAAGAGAGCAAAGCGGGAAAACGGUCAUGAUAGCAUCUAGGAAAGUGGUUAGUGGUAGGGUGUGGAGAGAGGAGGAGGCGCAGCACUAAGGCAGAUGCAGCCGCUUAGACUCUAAAUCUCAAGCUGGAUGGAACACUCAGGCGCCCAAUUGCCCGCUGCAUUAUGCUUCACGAGUGCAUUUGUGGGAGGAGGCGGGAGGCGGGAGGCGGGAGGAAGGCGGUCUUAGCAGUGUCAGCGGUACCCAGCGUCCAGCUAUUAACAUUUAUCUCUGGGGACCGAAUGCGACAGGUGCUCCCACGGACUGGGUGACGUGCUAGCCUUUGAACACUCACUAGUAAAGGUGGAAUGGCCCCUAAUCUUUAACGAGCCACUUUGCAAGAGAUCUUCAGUUUUAAAGACAAAGCUGUUGUUUUUUAAAACUUUUUGAUGAAGCUGGAGAAAUGGUUCAGCAGUUAGAUGUAUAUACAGCUUCUGCAGAAGACUGGAAUGACAUUCAGGGGUUCACAACCACCCCUAACUCUAGCUUGGGGUUUGUCCUAACCUCUGGGGUCAUUUGUAUUUACAGGUAUAUAUCUACACACAGAUAUGUAAUAAAAAAUAAAUUUGAAAAAAAAAAACUUUUGUAGUGAAAGAUUGCCAAAAUUCAAAAAGAAAAGAAUCCAGUCUCAAUAUAUCCUACAAAAUAUAUAUAAAAUUAUGUAGGGGUUCUCUUUGGAUUUUACUGCUGUGAUAAAGACCAUGGCAGUAGGCAACGUGGGGAGGAGAGGGGUUGCUUCUGUGUGUUGCCUUGGUCAUAGUGACACAUUGCAGCAAUAGGAAAGCAACUAAAACACCAGAGGAAGGAAGGAGGACUUGCCCCAUGGCACUCUGGAGGAAGCACAGGGACUCUGCGUGGAGCCUUUGAAGAUGGAUGAGACUGACCACGCGAAAGCUGUAGUGAAAUAUGACAUCUGGCUCCACCUCCUAAAGAUCCCACCACCUCACAGAAUUACCACUCUGGAAUACACAGGGACGUUCAAGGAUCACUCAACAUCCAAACUGUAGCAACAGUUCUGUGAUCGUGCACACACAUCGUUUCUCUUUUAUUAACAGGGAAAUGCUUUCACAGUGUCAGGCUAUUUCGCUUUGGCCGCACAGCUUCAUGUCCAUCGCUGGUGUGACUCCUUUCAGCACUAACCACGUAAGCAAACUGCAGUGUCACCUACUGUCACUCUGCUGGACGUGCACAGGCCCUCCUCGCAGAAGUUUUGGGAGCUGCCACCUACCUUCAGGGGACCACAAGUACAUCUUCACCGUCUUUGAUAUCCUUCCAUCCAUCCAGGACAUCUCUGCUAGAAUCACACUCUUUCAUUCCAGGUUUUGUUCUGACCCUGGAAGUCUGCGUGACAAGGGAAGAGAGAGUGUACUCUUGACUCCAGGACGUCAGCUCCUGGGUCUUCAUAGUCACUGUGGACAAUUAUACAGAGGGGUGACCUGUCUGUCACUGCAGUCUGUGACUUGAAUCUACUCUGUGCUUGUUCUCCCCUUACUGGAAGGGGGACCUGUUUCUCUUGCUGCUUUCUCUUCCAGAAGGCACCAGAAACUGUCAUGGACUCUUAAGAAAUCACAGGACUUCAUAAGGAAGGGUCUUGGAACUGUCAUCCCUGUUUUUCAGUCUGCCUGCUGUCUGGGUUCCUUUUCCAGCCUCCUCUGGUGCCCCAGCUCUGCAUGGGGCUCAUUUCCUGGAUCCCCAUCACUCCCCAAACAUACGCUUAUUGUCCUUCUUUAAUUAAAAAAAAAAUAUUUCCAUUUUUAA